GCCCCUGUAGUUCAACGGAUAGAACGAGAGACUUCUAAGCUCUUACUAGAGGUUCGAUUCCUCUCGGGGGCA
This 72-nucleotide transfer RNA is filed under the name Candidatus Parcubacteria bacterium. Its description in RNAcentral is "tRNA-Arg". It matches the Rfam family "tRNA". Rfam says of the family: Transfer RNA (tRNA) molecules are approximately 80 nucleotides in length. Their secondary structure includes four short double-helical elements and three loops (D, anti-codon, and T loops). Further hydrogen bonds mediate the characteristic L-shaped molecular structure. tRNAs have two regions of fundamental functional importance: the anti-codon, which is responsible for specific mRNA codon recognition, and the 3' end, to which the tRNAs corresponding amino acid is attached (by aminoacyl-tRNA synthetases). tRNAs cope with the degeneracy of the genetic code in two manners: having more than one tRNA (with a specific anti-codon) for a particular amino acid; and 'wobble' base-pairing, i.e. permitting non-standard base-pairing at the 3rd anti-codon position. Lineage: Bacteria; Candidatus Parcubacteria. The record is from RNAcentral.